This 486-nucleotide ribosomal RNA is filed under the name uncultured bacterium. RNAcentral's name for it is "partial 16S ribosomal RNA". It matches the Rfam family "Bacterial small subunit ribosomal RNA", at positions 28 to 507 of the family's 1533-position model. The record is from RNAcentral.
GACGAACGCUGGCGGCGUGCUUAACACAUGCAAGUCGAACGCUGAAGACCUGGCUUUUGUUGGGUUGGAUGAGUGGCGAACGGGUGAGUAACACGUGAGUAACCUGCCCUCUUCUUUGGGAUAACGCCCGGAAACGGGUGCUAAUACUGGAUAUUCACUGAUCUUCGCAUGGGGGUUGGUGGAAGGGUUUGUUCUGGUGGGGGAUGGGCUGGCGGCCUAUCAGCUUGUUGGUGGGGUGAUGGCCUACCAAGGCUUUGACGGGUAGCCGGCCUGAGAGGGUGACCGGUCACAUUGGGACUGAGAUACGGCCCAGACUCCUACGGGAGGCAGCAGUGGGGAAUAUUGCACAAUGGGCGAAAGCCUGAUGCAGCGACGCCGCGUGAGGGAUGGAGGCCUUCGGGUUGUAAACCUCUUUCGCUCAUGGUCAAGCCGCAACUGUGGGUUGUGGUGAGGGUAGUGGGUAAAGAAGCGCCGGCUAACUACGUG